This 471-nucleotide ribosomal RNA is filed under the name uncultured bacterium. RNAcentral describes it as "SSU rRNA". It matches the Rfam family "Bacterial small subunit ribosomal RNA", at positions 26 to 518 of the family's 1533-position model. The record is from RNAcentral.
AGGAUAAACGCUGGCGGCGUGCCUAACACAUGCAAGUCGAACGUCUCUUCUUUCGGGAAGAGGAGUGGCGGACGGGUGAGGAACACGUGGGAACCUGCCCUUUAGUGAGGAAUACCGGCGAGAAAUCGCCGACAAGACCGCAUAGCCCUCUUUGAUGAGAGUCAAAGAAGGAAAGCUUCGCAAGAGGCGCUAGAGGAGGGGCCUGCGUCCGAUUAGCUAGUUGGUGGGGUAAGAGCCUACCAAGGCGUCGAUCGGUAGCUGGUCUGAGAGGACGAUCAGCCACACUGGGAUUGAGAACGGCCCAGACUCCUACGGGGGGCAGCAGUGAGGAAUUUUCGGCAAUGGGGGAAACCCUGACCGAGCAACGCCGCGUGCAGGAAGACGGCCUUCGGGUUGUAAACUGCUUUUCUUUGGGACGAGAACGGACGGUACCAGAGGAAUCAGCCCGGCUCACUACGUGCCAGCAGCCGC